This 355-nucleotide long non-coding RNA is filed under the name Cyanistes caeruleus (blue tit). Its description in RNAcentral is "lncRNA (ENSCCEG00000007693.1)". Lineage: Eukaryota; Metazoa; Chordata; Aves; Passeriformes; Paridae. The record is from RNAcentral.
UUAUAGUAUAUUUUACUGGAAUAAUCAAUUCCUGCUUUUUACCAGGUGUGUUUAUUUUCCUCAGUCUCAGUGAGAGAACAGUGACCCAAAACAUCUGGAUGUGAACAAUUGUUUUCCUAAACAGUUCUCCUGUGAGCCUUUACGGUGUGAUCAGAGCUUUACCACAACCAGUUGGAGUUGACAGUCUCCAAAGCAGGAUGUGAUUUUUGCCUGGUGUGUGAAGUUUAUCCAACAUCCCUGCCUGGUGUUCCAUCCAGCUGCUCCUCCUGACCCAAAGGUGCUGCUGCAUCCAGAGGCACAGGAAUAUUUUUCAAGUGUUCCGAAAGUUUAGGAAGUGUGUGGAUAUGCCAUAAAU